RNAcentral lists this ribosomal RNA (352 nucleotides) under Salmonella enterica subsp. enterica serovar Infantis. RNAcentral describes it as "partial 16S ribosomal RNA". It matches the Rfam family "Bacterial small subunit ribosomal RNA", at positions 1150 to 1501 of the family's 1533-position model. RNAcentral also lists the same sequence under 2 other names. The record is from RNAcentral. Lineage: Bacteria; Pseudomonadati; Pseudomonadota; Gammaproteobacteria; Enterobacterales; Enterobacteriaceae.
UGCCAGUGAUAAACUGGAGGAAGGUGGGGAUGACGUCAAGUCAUCAUGGCCCUUACGACCAGGGCUACACACGUGCUACAAUGGCGCAUACAAAGAGAAGCGACCUCGCGAGAGCAAGCGGACCUCAUAAAGUGCGUCGUAGUCCGGAUUGGAGUCUGCAACUCGACUCCAUGAAGUCGGAAUCGCUAGUAAUCGUGGAUCAGAAUGCCACGGUGAAUACGUUCCCGGGCCUUGUACACACCGCCCGUCACACCAUGGGAGUGGGUUGCAAAAGAAGUAGGUAGCUUAACCUUCGGGAGGGCGCUUACCACUUUGUGAUUCAUGACUGGGGUGAAGUCGUAACAAGGUAACC